Molecule: ribosomal RNA, 515 nt
Filed under: uncultured bacterium
Lineage: Bacteria
Description: partial 16S ribosomal RNA
Rfam family: Bacterial small subunit ribosomal RNA
Source: RNAcentral
GAUGAACGCUGGCGGCGUGCCUAAUACAUGCAAGUCGAGCGAAUGGAUUAAGAGCUUGCUCUUAUGAAGUUAGCGGCGGACGGGUGAGUAACACGUGGGUAACCUGCCCAUAAGACUGGGAUAACUCCGGGAAACCGGGGCUAAUACCGGAUAACAUUUUGAACCGCAUGGUUCGAGAUUGAAAGGCGGCUUCGGCUGUCACUUAUGGAUGGACCCGCGUCGCAUUAGCUAGUUGGUGAGGUAACGGCUCACCAAGGCAACGAUGCGUAGCCGACCUGGGAGGGUGAUCGGCCACACUGGGACUGAGACACGGCCCAGACUCCUACGGGAGGCAGCAGUAGGGAAUCUUCCGCAAUGGACGGAAGUCUGACGGAGCAACGCCGCGUGAGUGAUGAAGGCUUUCGGGUCGUAAAACUCUGUUGUUAGGGAAGAACAAGUGCUAGUUGAAUAAGCUGGCACCUUGACGGUACCUAACCAGAAAGCCACGGCUAACUACGUGCCAGCAGCCGCGGUAA